This is a long non-coding RNA of Lingula anatina, 347 nucleotides long. NCBI's taxonomy places the organism in Eukaryota, Metazoa, Brachiopoda, Lingulata, Lingulida, Lingulidae. The record is from RefSeq and is a predicted model, not a curated record.
CAGAAUUUCUUCUGUGAGUUUGGAGCGCUGCGACCCUUAAGCAAAGAAAAAAAAAAAUGGGGAAGUUUCUGGCAAGCAUUUUAGUGCUUGGCCUGUUGGGGCUGACGGCUGUGGUUGGACAAAAAGAAAAUUUCCCCGCAAACCCAGACGGUGCUUUAUUCAGAACAACUCUCGGCGGGUCGGCGGUAGUGACCGGGUUCUCAACAAACCAAGCCACGUCGCCGGAUGGCAAACCCUAUCCACCGGAGGUCAGGCAGCAUAGCCAAUUCCCCACAAAACAACCAUUGGGUGGUGAGGACUCUCAUCCACAGGACGGCGUCUCUGAGAUAGGAGGACAGGUCAAGCUG